GGGGCAUUGGCGCAGUUGGGAGCGCGCCUCCAUGGCAUGGAGGAGGCCACGGGUUCAAGUCCCGUAUGCUCCA
Molecule: transfer RNA, 73 nt
Filed under: Lachnospiraceae bacterium
Lineage: Bacteria; Bacillati; Bacillota; Clostridia; Lachnospirales; Lachnospiraceae
Also listed under: 1 other name
Description: tRNA-Ala
Rfam family: tRNA
About the family: Transfer RNA (tRNA) molecules are approximately 80 nucleotides in length. Their secondary structure includes four short double-helical elements and three loops (D, anti-codon, and T loops).
Source: RNAcentral